This 465-nucleotide ribosomal RNA is filed under the name uncultured bacterium. RNAcentral describes it as "partial 16S ribosomal RNA". It matches the Rfam family "Bacterial small subunit ribosomal RNA", at positions 28 to 507 of the family's 1533-position model. The record is from RNAcentral.
GACGAACGCUGGCGGCGUGCUUAACACAUGCAAGUCGAACGGAAAGGCCCUGCUUGCAGGGUACUCGAGUGGCGAACGGGUGAGUAACACGUGGGUGAUCUGCCCUGCACUUCGGGAUAAGCCUGGUAAACUGGGUCUAAUACCGGAUAGACGCCAUUUUUAAUGUGAUGGUUGGAAAGUUUUUUCCGUGUAGGAUGAGCUCGCGGCCUAUCAGCUUGUUGGUGGGGUAAUGGCAUACCAAGGCGGCGACGGGUAGCCGGCCUGAGAGGGUGGACGGCCAGAUUGGGACGGAGAUACGGCCCAGACUCCUACGGGGGGCAGCAGUGGGGAAUAUUGCACAAUGGGCGCAAGCCGGAGGCAGCGACGCAGCGGGGGGGAUGACGGCCUUCGGAUGGAAAACUCCUUUCGCUAGGGACGAAGCUUUUUGUGAAGUUACCUAGAUAAGAAGCACCGGCUAACUACGUG